GAGUUUGAUCCUGGCUCAGAACGAACGCUGGCGGCGUGCCUAACACAUGCAAGUCGAACGAGAAAGGGGCUUCGGCCCUGAGUAAAGUGGCGCACGGGUGAGUAACACGUGGGUAACCUGCCUCUAAGAUGGGGAUAACCUGUCGAAAGACGGACUAAUACCGAAUAAGACCACAGUUUCCCCGGAAACAGGGGUCAAAGGUAGCCUCUACUUGUAAGCUACCACUUAGAGAUGGGCCUGCGUACCAUUAGCUAGUUGGUGGGGUAACGGCCUACCAAGGCAAAGAUGGUUAGCUGGUCUGAGAGGAUGAUCAGCCACACUGGAACUGAGACACGGUCCAGACUCCUACG
This 350-nucleotide ribosomal RNA is filed under the name uncultured bacterium. Its description in RNAcentral is "bacterial SSU rRNA". It matches the Rfam family "Bacterial small subunit ribosomal RNA", at positions 9 to 343 of the family's 1533-position model. The record is from RNAcentral.